GGGGGCGUUUGGUUUUGACAGCAUAGCUCUUUGAAAGUAUAAGCAUGUACUGCGUUGCGUAAUUAGCAGUUUAAUCUGAAUACGAGACUAUAAAUGGCAAUACUCAGUAUGCCAUGGCUGCUUAAUCAGUGAUUAGGUAGUCAUUAGGGCCGCCGGGCCGGUUUAUCUGUUACCACGCCCCGCCGCCGACUCAACAAACAAUACAGGUUGCAAAAAGCUGGUCUCUUGCAAAAGAGAUGGUCGUGCUGCUUUUCUAAGAUAAUUACGACUACGGGGUAGUUUGGUUCGUCCAGUUCCUGUCUAUCCCCGACAAUUAAUGCUGGAAUAAACAUGUAGAAGGCUUUCGACGAAUAUGUUUGGACACCGGUUCGAAUCCGGUCGCCUCCAC
Molecule: transfer-messenger RNA, 388 nt
Filed under: Bacteroidota bacterium
Lineage: Bacteria; Pseudomonadati; Bacteroidota
Rfam family: transfer-messenger RNA
About the family: Bacterial tmRNA, also known as 10Sa RNA or SsrA, is named for its dual tRNA and mRNA-like properties. Its role is to liberate the mRNA from a stalled ribosome. To accomplish this part of the tmRNA is used as a reading frame that ends in a translation stop signal.
Source: RNAcentral